RNAcentral lists this long non-coding RNA (684 nucleotides) under Physcomitrium patens. RNAcentral describes it as "long non-coding RNA (PPAT_LNC004455)". The record is from RNAcentral. Lineage: Eukaryota; Viridiplantae; Streptophyta; Bryopsida; Funariales; Funariaceae.
AUUCCUUUACUUUUUAUAAAAUGCUUAAGUUAUAAUAAAAUUUCUUCAAAAUAUAAUAUUCUUACAAAGGAUUUUUUCUUCUCAAAUUUUAGAAAUUCAUAUCUCUUGAUCCAACCAUUCAGAUUUUUCCAAAUUUAUGAAUACUAUAGAAUUCAUCCUUAAACUUUAUGUUACAAAAAUUCAAUUGUAAAUUUACUACCAAUCGUCUGGUAUCUUAAAAAUCCUAGCAAAUGCUCUAAAAUCCUAAUUCACAAGCACCUAAGUACUAUUUUCUUUAUAUCUCACAAAUCUAAAAUCCAAAUGUUACAAAUCUUAUAUAUAAAAUUUAAUAAUAUAGAUAUAUACAUUCUUAAAUAUUUGUAGCCAAAAUCUUGUCAAAUUACAUAAGAUAUAGCUCAAAACACAACUACUAGCAAUUCGGGUCACUUACAACUCGUUAGAUUCCAAAUACUAACUUCAACUUCCAAUAACUCCUUCAUCCCAAUUUAGAAUUCAUCAAACAAUAUACAUAAAGUAUAGCCAAAAAAGCCCUCUCUUUAAUCCUAGUUGUCGAUCUUUUGUUGCUUUCUUAUACAUGCAUUAUAUCUAAAAGAGUGACAGUAGAUACAAAAUCAAUACCUGAACUUUGAGCAUCCAUAUCUCUUUCAUAUAAACUCUAAAAGACUCAAAAUUUGCACCAAAUCA